This is a long non-coding RNA of Brassica napus (rape), 1713 nucleotides long. RefSeq lists it as uncharacterized. The transcript is spliced from 3 exons. NCBI's taxonomy places the organism in Eukaryota, Viridiplantae, Streptophyta, Magnoliopsida, Brassicales, Brassicaceae. The record is from RefSeq and is a predicted model, not a curated record.
CAGAAGAUCAGAAAAGUCAUAUCUCAAGACAAAAAAAAAAUAUCUGGAGCUAAAGGAUACAGAAAGAUCGAUCUCUUCAGAAUAUGUUUCAUGUCACCCGAUGAGUUAUGCCGUUAAAUGCUUGUGGAUCAAUGAUCGGGAGAAAAUUUCUUACUCAAUACCUUCAACUUCUUGUUCUAAAGAUAAGUCUUCAAUUUUUCUCACAUUUCUAAAGUUGUAUGCUAUAAUAUAAUAUCCGUUCAUAUUCAAAUGUUGCGUUAUGAUCUAUGUUUGAUUUUACUGAAUGGUUUGAAAAUUUGUAUCAAUACAUACUUGAGGACACAAGCUUUCGUAUACAUACUUGAGGACACAAGCUUUUGUACUUUAGUUGAUUUAUUAUUUAAUCAAAGUUUCGAGAUUGAAUAUAUUAGUGUUUGAUAAUUGGAUGUUUGAAUCUUUACUAAAUUACAAUAUAAUAAUGUUGGUAUCAAUAGCAAUUACCUUUUAUUUGUUGAUUAAAAGGAACCCUCUCAAAGCGUUAUGUGAACUUCAUGAUUUGUUUGUUUUUACUCACUGUAUUUUUGUCCGUUUAUUUUAAUGUUCCUAUGAUUGUAUUGAAUAUUGAUAUCUACAUUUAAGAUCUCUGUCAUGAACUAUUAUUGUUUAGUUUAUUAGAUUAUGAUAACCAGAAACGGUAAAAAGAUCUCCAAUCUUAAAAUUUCUAAUUGAUAUAUCAUUUGUUAUUCAGUACAUAGCUCUCAUUUAUUUUCAAUAUAGUUUGAUUAUUGUUCCAUGAACCUUAAUUCUCUGGUUUGUUUCAGGAGUAAAUGAAAAUGGUUACAAUCUAUACCAAACAAAGGUUCCUCUUAUUAUCAGAUGUGUAUGACUUUGGUUUGCAGACCAGUUUUUUCUUAGAAGACAUUAUAUGAGAAUUGUUUUGAAAUCUGCGUGAUUGAUCCGAGGUUAAUAUGCUGUAUAUAUAGGAAAAAAAGGCCGUGGGUUUAAGAUAUUCCAAAUCAAUACUGUUAAAGUAUAUAAGGCAUGAGUUUAUUAAAAUCAUUAAUCUUGUUAUGAUUGGUUGUUAUUUAUAUUUUGAAGAUAUGAAAAUAAAAAAUUUAACCUGGUAGUUAUGCUUUGGUAUAUUCUUUAUUGUUAUCUAAGGAACCUCCGAAAAUUUAGAUCCUUUUCUUAAAAGAUUGGUGGUACAAACGAUUUAGUAUAUUCGAUAUUGUUAGGUAGGCUCUUCCGGCAAUCAAGUUUAUUUGCCAAGUUUUAAGGUUUUGAUUUAGUGGAUUAUAUUUUUGGUAUUUGAUGUGGGAAAGUUUGGGAUUUAAAUAAUUUGGUCAACUAUAUUUGAAUAAUGCAACAUAUAGGAUUUAUGGUGCAAUCGUUUGUAAGCAAAACUUCUGUUUGGAAGUGACGACUGGUAAAAACAAUGAUAUUAACAGAUAUGUACUGUUUUUAUUUUGAAGUUUGCAGAAUCCAAUAAACGUUCAAGCUUGGUGUUGCUGGAACAUCAUUCUCAAUAUACAAAGAGAUGGUACAUCUAAUCUAUAAAAAAGGAAAAUUAGUGUUGAUGCAAUUGAAGUUUGUUUAAAAUGUAGAUGUUACUUUGUUAUUUAAUGAUACGUUAUGUUUCAUUAGGAAGACAUUAUGUUACUUUUAAAAUAAAAAAAUUACGUAGCUGUAAUGUAGGUGUUUCUGUUUAAAUAAAAAGAAUUUCGAAAAUACUGA